RNAcentral lists this ribosomal RNA (433 nucleotides) under uncultured bacterium. RNAcentral's name for it is "partial 16S ribosomal RNA". It matches the Rfam family "Bacterial small subunit ribosomal RNA", at positions 29 to 507 of the family's 1533-position model. The record is from RNAcentral.
AACGAACGCUGGCGGCAUGCCUAACACAUGCAAGUCGAACGAGACCUUCGGGUCUAGUGGCGCACGGGUGCGUAACGCGUGGGAACCUGCCCUUAGGUUCGGAAUAACUCCCCGAAAGGGGUGCUAAUACCGGAUAAUGUCUUCGGACCAAAGAUUUAUCGCCUUUGGAUGGGCCCGCGUUGGAUUAGCUAGUUGGUAGGGUAAAAGCCUACCAAGGCGACGAUCCAUAGCUGGUCUGAGAGGAUGAUCAGCCACACUGGGACUGGGACACGGCCCAGACUCCUACGGGAGGCAGCAGUGGGGAAUAUUGGACAAUGGGCGAAAGCCUGAUCCAGCAAUGCCGCGUGAGUGAUGAAGGCCUUAGGGUUGUAAAGCUCUUUUAACCGGGAUGAUAAUGACAGUACCGGGAGAAUAAGCUCCGGCUAACUCCGUG